UUUCAUCACAGAUGAUGCGCAGGGCUACUAUGAAGGAAACGAUGUUUACAAAAACCGUAUAGCUGGGUUUGAGAUUCGGUCUCACGCCAAUCCAACAGUCGUGGGAUGUAAAAUACACCACGGUAUGACGGGUGGCAUAUACUGUCAUGACGAUGCACGUGGUGAAUUCCUGGAAAAUAAGAUAUAUUCUAACACA
Long non-coding RNA from Pocillopora damicornis (cauliflower coral), 196 nucleotides. NCBI's taxonomy places the organism in Eukaryota, Metazoa, Cnidaria, Anthozoa, Scleractinia, Pocilloporidae. The record is from RefSeq and is a predicted model, not a curated record.